This 465-nucleotide ribosomal RNA is filed under the name Vreelandella stevensii. RNAcentral's name for it is "partial 16S ribosomal RNA". It matches the Rfam family "Bacterial small subunit ribosomal RNA", at positions 338 to 795 of the family's 1533-position model. Lineage: Bacteria; Pseudomonadati; Pseudomonadota; Gammaproteobacteria; Oceanospirillales; Halomonadaceae. The record is from RNAcentral.
CCUACGGGUGGCUGCAGUGGGGAAUAUUGGACAAUGGGCGAAAGCCUGAUCCAGCCAUGCCGCGUGUGUGAAGAAGGCCUUCGGGUUGUAAAGCACUUUCAGUGGGGAAGAAAGCCUUGGGGCUAAUACCCUCGAGGAAGGACAUCACCCACAGAAGAAGCACCGGCUAACUCCGUGCCAGCAGCCGCGGUAAUACGGAGGGUGCGAGCGUUAAUCGGAAUUACUGGGCGUAAAGCGCGCGUAGGCGGUCUGAUAAGCCGGUUGUGAAAGCCCCGGGCUCAACCUGGGAACGGCAUCCGGAACUGUCAGGCUAGAGUGCAGGAGAGGAAAGUAGAAUUCCCGGUGUAGCGGUGAAAUGCGUAGAGAUCGGGAGGAAUACCAGUGGCGAAGGCGGCCUUCUGGACUGACACUGACGCUGAGGUGCGAAAGCGUGGGUAGCAAACAGGAUUAGAUACCCUUGUAGUC